CCUACGGGAGGCUGCAGUCGAGGAUCUUCGGCAAUGGGCGAAAGCCUGACCGAGCGACGCCGCGUGUGGGAUGAAGGCCUUCGGGUUGUAAACCACUGUCGUAGGGGAGGAAAUGCAGAGGGGUUCUCCCCUUUGCUUGACCUAUCCUAGGAGGAAGUACGGGCUAAGUUCGUGCCAGCAGCCGCGGUAAGACGAACCGUACAAACGUUACUCGGAAUUACUGGGCUUAAAGGGUGCGUAGGCUGCGCGGAAAGUUGGGUGUGAAAGCCCUCAGCUCAACUGGGGAAUUGCACUCAAAACUACCGUGCUCGAGGGAGACAGAGGUAAGCGGAACUCAAGGUGGAGCGGUGAAAUGCGUUGAUAUCUUGAGGAACACCGGUGGCGAAGGCGGCUUACUGGGUCUUUUCUGACGCUGAGGCACGAAAGCCAAGGUAGCAAACGGGAUUAGAUACCCUAGUAGUC
Molecule: ribosomal RNA, 462 nt
Filed under: uncultured bacterium
Lineage: Bacteria
Description: bacterial SSU rRNA
Rfam family: Bacterial small subunit ribosomal RNA
Source: RNAcentral